GAGUUUGAUCCUGGCUCAGGACGAACGCUGGCGGCGUGCUUAACACAUGCAAGUCAAGGGGCCCGCAAGGGUAACCGGCGAACGGGUGCGUAACACGUGAGCAAUCUGCCUAGAUGUGGGGGAUAGCCGGCCCAACGGCCGGGUAAUACCGCAUACGCUCUCCGGGUGGCAUCACCUGGUGAGGAAACAUUCGUGGCAUCUAGAGGAGCUCGCGGCCUAUCAGCUAGUUGGUGGGGUAACGGCCUACCAAGGCUUUGACGGGUAGCUGGUCUGAGAGGAUGGCCAGCCACAUUGGGACUGAGAUACGGCCCAGACUCCUACGGGAGGCAGCAGUGGGGAAUAUUGCGCAAUGGCCGAAAGGCUGACGCAGCGACGCCGCGUGGGGGAUGAAGCAUUUCGGUGUGUAAACCCCUGUUGCUCGGGACGAACAACUGGUUUCGACCAGUCUGACGGUACCGGGUGAGGAAGCACCGGCUAACUCCGUGCCAGCCGCCGCCGU
This 499-nucleotide ribosomal RNA is filed under the name uncultured Gemmatimonadota bacterium. Its description in RNAcentral is "bacterial SSU rRNA". It matches the Rfam family "Bacterial small subunit ribosomal RNA", at positions 9 to 521 of the family's 1533-position model. The record is from RNAcentral. Lineage: Bacteria; Pseudomonadati; Gemmatimonadota.